GCAUGUAAGGUAGGAUAGUUGCCAGACCACUCCACCUGACAGAGAAGUGUAAGCAGGGUAUUGUGCUCAUUUGUGAAUUUGGUCUUUUUGCUUUCCUUGCUGAUUUCCAGAGGAUGGUUCUAAUGCAUCCUCAAUCUAUAAAAGAGGAUGUGAAAAAUAUGAAGACAGGCUUCUGGUAUUGGUUAUGAACAUGCAUGAAGAUGUAUUGGAUGAUCUUAAAAAUCCCUUGAAAACCACAUCAGAAAUAGACAACCUCUCCACCUCUCUUAAAGAAAAUAUGAAAUCGAGACUCAUCAGACCAGACAACAUUUUUCCA
Molecule: long non-coding RNA, 316 nt
Organism: Polypterus senegalus (gray bichir)
Lineage: Eukaryota; Metazoa; Chordata; Cladistia; Polypteriformes; Polypteridae
Exons: 3
Source: RefSeq, a predicted model, not a curated record